RNAcentral lists this long non-coding RNA (199 nucleotides) under Gossypium raimondii (Peruvian cotton). RNAcentral's name for it is "long non-coding RNA (GRAI_LNC011232)". The record is from RNAcentral. Lineage: Eukaryota; Viridiplantae; Streptophyta; Magnoliopsida; Malvales; Malvaceae.
CCAAAAUGUAGCGCGCGAAUAACAUGGGGGACUAAAUGGGAAAUAUUCCUUGCCCACCAAAACAUUGUGUUGCAAUAUGGACCAAAAUGAACAGUAUUCAAAAUAAACGAGGUAAAUUUAAAAAUAAAAAAAUGAAAUUAAAAUAGCGAAAGAAAAUAAAAGGGUCAAUGGCGCAAAUAUCCCCUUUUAGACCCAAAAC